Molecule: unclassified non-coding RNA, 382 nt
Filed under: uncultured fungus
Lineage: Eukaryota; Fungi
Description: partial contains small subunit ribosomal RNA, internal transcribed spacer 1, and 5.8S ribosomal RNA
Rfam family: Eukaryotic small subunit ribosomal RNA (bases 1-73)
Source: RNAcentral
ACAAACUUGGUCAUUUAGAGGAAGUAAAAGUCGUAACAAGGUUUCCGUAGGUGAACCUGCGGAAGGAUCAUUAAUGAAUAAAAUUGGUUAAGUUGUUGCUGGCUCAACUUGGAGCAUGUGCACGCUUGAUCUAUAUUUCUUUCUAACCACCUGUGCACUGAUGUAGAAUUGGAAACAAUUUUUCAAGUAAUGACUGCAGUACUUGGAUUGAGAAUUGCCGAGUCAAUUGAAGGCCAGCUUUUCUCAUGUUUCACAUUCUAUGUUUUCAUAUAUACACCAAUAGCAUGUAUCAGACUAUUGUUUAAUUGAGCAUGUCCGCUCUAAAUCAAUUAUAACUUUCAACAACGGAUCUCUUGGCUCUCGCAUCGAUGAAGAACGCAGC